UCCUGGUUAGCUCAGUUGGUAGAGCGCUCCCUGGAAAUGGAGGUGUUCCUGGUGCAAAACCAGGACCAAGCG
This 72-nucleotide transfer RNA is filed under the name Ixodes scapularis (black-legged tick). RNAcentral describes it as "tRNA-Undet for anticodon ???". The record is from RNAcentral. Lineage: Eukaryota; Metazoa; Arthropoda; Arachnida; Ixodida; Ixodidae.